AUUGAACGCUGGCGGCAGGCUUAACACAUGCAAGUCGAGCGGAGGCUUCGGUCUUAGCGGCGAACGGGUGAGUAAUACCUAGGAAUCUGCCUAUUAGUGGGGGAUAACGAAUCGAAAGGUUCGCUAAUACCGCAUACGUCCUACGGGAGAAAGGGGGGAGUCUUCGGACCUCUCGCUAAUAGAUGAGCCUAGGCCGGAUUAGCUAGUUGGUAGGGUAAAGGCCUACCAAGGCGACGAUCUGUAGCUGGUCUGAGAGGAUGGCCAGCCACACUGGAACUGAGACACGGUCCAGACUCCUACGGGAGGCAGCAGUGGGGGAAUAUUGGACAAUGGGGGCGAACCCUGAUCCAGCCAUGCCGCGUGUGUGAAGAAGGCCUCGGUUGGUAAG
RNAcentral lists this ribosomal RNA (388 nucleotides) under uncultured bacterium. RNAcentral describes it as "bacterial SSU rRNA". It matches the Rfam family "Bacterial small subunit ribosomal RNA", at positions 30 to 430 of the family's 1533-position model. The record is from RNAcentral.